This 509-nucleotide ribosomal RNA is filed under the name uncultured bacterium. RNAcentral describes it as "partial 16S ribosomal RNA". It matches the Rfam family "Bacterial small subunit ribosomal RNA", at positions 31 to 542 of the family's 1533-position model. The record is from RNAcentral.
GACGAACGCUGGCGGCGUGCUUAACACAUGCGAGUCGAACGGAAAGGCCCUGCUUUUGUGGGGUGCUCGAGUGGCGAACGGGUGAGUAACACGUGAGUAACCUGCCCUUGACUUUGGGAUAACUUCAGGAAACUGGGGCUAAUACCGGAUAGGAGCUCCUGCUGCAUGGUGGGGGUUGGAAAGUUUCGGCGGUUGGGGAUGGACUCGCGGCUUAUCAGCUUGUUGGUGGGGUAGUGGCUUACCAAGGCUUUGACGGGUAGCCGGCCUGAGAGGGUGACCGGCCACAGGCGGCGGGGGCUCCGCGCCUGGAUAAGGGGGGGGGCGGCAGUGGGGAAUAGUGCACGGUGGGGGGACGCCGGGGGCAGCACGGCGGCGGGGGGGAGGAGGGCGUGCGGUUGGUAACCGGCUUGCGCGUGUGGCGAAGAGUGUGUGGCGGGGGGGGGUAAAGAAGCACCGGCUAAAUACGUGCAAGCAGCGGCGAUAAUAAAGGGAAGAGCCCCCGUUUGAUC